RNAcentral lists this ribosomal RNA (686 nucleotides) under uncultured archaeon. RNAcentral's name for it is "bacterial SSU rRNA". It matches the Rfam family "Archaeal small subunit ribosomal RNA", at positions 1 to 694 of the family's 1478-position model. The record is from RNAcentral.
UUCCGGUUGAUCCUGCCGGACCUGACUGCUAUCGGAUUGAUACUAAGCCAUGCGAGUCAUUGUAGCAAUACAAGGCAGACGGCUCAGUAACGCGUAGUCAACCUAACCUAUGGACGGGAAUAACCUCGGGAAAUUGAGAAUAAUGCCCGAUAGAACACUAUGCCUGGAAUGGUUUGUGUUCCAAAUGAUUUAUCGCCGUAGGAUGGGACUGCGGCCUAUCAGUUUGUUGGUGAGGUAAUGGCCCACCAAGACUAUUACAGGUACGGGCUCUGAGAGGAGUAGCCCGGAGAUGGGUACUGAGACACGGACCCAGGCCCUAUGGGGCGCAGCAGGCGAGAAAACUUUGCAAUGUGCGAAAGCACGACAAGGUUAAUCCGAGUGGUUUGUGCUAAACAGACCUUUUGUUAGUCCUAGAAACACUAACGAAUAAGGGGUGGGCAAGUUCUGGUGUCAGCCGCCGCGGUAAAACCAGCACCUCAAGUGGUCAGGAUGAUUAUUGGGCCUAAAGCAUCCGUAGCCGGCUCUGUAAGUUUUCGGUUAAAUCUGUAUGCUCAACAUACAGGCUGCCGGGAAUACUGCAGAGCUAGGGAGUGGGAGAGGUAGACGGUACUCGGUAGGAAGGGGUAAAAUCCUUUGAUCUAUUGAUGACCACCUGUGGCGAAGGCGGUCUACCAGAACACGUCCGA